This 6390-nucleotide long non-coding RNA is filed under the name Cicer arietinum (chickpea). RNAcentral's name for it is "long non-coding RNA (CARI_LNC000104)". Lineage: Eukaryota; Viridiplantae; Streptophyta; Magnoliopsida; Fabales; Fabaceae. The record is from RNAcentral.
AUAAACUGGGGGUCAAAUAAUAUAUAAUAGUUUAUGGCUAAAGAGCAUAAUAGUUAUGAAAAUUAAUAGUGUAGAUACCAGGCAGUUUCUAAUUUAAUGAGGGGCUGAAUUGGAAAUACUGCAAUUUGGGAUAUAACUAAUAAUAGUUAUAUAUAGGGGUAAUGGUCCCCAAGGCAAACACAACAAGACUAUUCAGUUUCAAAACCCUAAAGUAGAAAAUUCUCUGGUUCUCUCUAUCCCCAUCAAGAGAGCAAGGUCUUCAGGGUGUUUUGCUGAGGAAGAUCACCCAACCCAUUGGCUCUAUCAUCAUCAUCCCAGGAUUUCAUUAAUGGCAAUUCCCACAGGUACGCUUCCGUCUUUGCCUAUUCAUCAUGUAAUUGACAUGGAUUGUUGAGCACAACGUUAGUAAGGUUUUUCCAACAAUUGGUAUCAGAGUCUACCAUGUUUAAUUCAUGAUGAAAUUCGGUUAUUGUCUUUGUUUUAAGAUGGAAUUUGGGAAUUUUGAUAUAUAUAUUAUGGAAUCCAUAUUUUUAACGUGUUUGAAAAAUUAGGGUUUGUAAUUUGGGAAUUUGAGAAUUUUGAUAUAUAUAUUAUGGAAUCCAUAUUUUUAACGUGUUUGAAAAAUUAGGGUUUGUAAUUUGGGAAUUUUGAUAUAUAUAUUAUGGAAUCCAUAUUUUUAACGUGUUUGAAAAAUUAGGGUUUGUAAUUUGGGAAUUUUGAUAUAUAUAUUAUGGAAUCCAUAUUUUUAACGUGUUUGAAAAAUUAGGGUUUGUAAUUUGGGAAUUUGGGAAUUUUGAUAUAUAUAUUAUGGAAUCCAUAUUUUUAACGUGUUUGAAAAAUUAGGGUUUGUAAUUUGGGAAUUUGGGAAUUUUGAUAUAUAUAUUAUGGAAUCCAUAUUUUUAACGUGUUUGAAAAAUUAGGGUUUGUAAUUUGGGAAUUUGGGAAUUUUGAUAUAUAUAUUAUGGAAUCCAUAUUUUUAACGUGUUUGAAAAAUUAGGGUUUGUAAUUUGGGAAUUUGGGAAUUUUGAUAUAUAUAUUAUGGAAUCCAUAUUUUUAACGUGUUUGAAAAAUUAGGGUUUGUAAUUUGGGAAUUUGGGAAUUUUGAUAUAUAUAUUAUGGAAUCCAUAUUUUUAACGUGUUUGAAAAAUUAGGGUUUGUAAUUUGGGAAUUUGGGAAUUUUGAUAUAUAUAUUAUGGAAUCCAUAUUUUUAACGUGUUUGAAAAAUUAGGGUUUGUAAUUUGGGAAUUUGGGAAUUUUGAUAUAUAUAUUAUGGAAUCCAUAUUUUUAACGUGUUUGAAAAAUUAGGGUUUGUAAUUUGGGAAUUUGGGAAUUUUGAUAUAUAUAUUAUGGAAUCCAUAUUUUUAACGUGUUUGAAAAAUUAGGGUUUGUAAUUUGGGAAUUUGGGAAUUUUGAUAUAUAUAUUAUGGAAUCCAUAUUUUUAACGUGUUUGAAAAAUUAGGGUUUGUAAUUUGGGAAUUUGGGAAUUUUGAUAUAUAUAUUAUGGAAUCCAUAUUUUUAACGUGUUUGAAAAAUUAGGGUUUGUAAUUUGGGAAUUUGGGAAUUUUGAUAUAUAUAUUAUGGAAUCCAUAUUUUUAACGUGUUUGAAAAAUUAGGGUUUGUAAUUUGGGAAUUUGGGAAUUUUGAUAUAUAUAUUAUGGAAUCCAUAUUUUUAACGUGUUUGAAAAAUUAGGGUUUGUAAUUUGGGAAUUUGGGAAUUUUGAUAUAUAUAUUAUGGAAUCCAUAUUUUUAACGUGUUUGAAAAAUUAGGGUUUGUAAUUUGGGAAUUUGGGAAUUUUGAUAUAUAUAUUAUGGAAUCCAUAUUUUUAACGUGUUUGAAAAAUUAGGGUUUGUAAUUUGGGAAUUUGGGAAUUUUGAUAUAUAUAUUAUGGAAUCCAUAUUUUUAACGUGUUUGAAAAAUUAGGGUUUGUAAUUUGGGAAUUUGGGAAUUUUGAUAUAUAUAUUAUGGAAUCCAUAUUUUUAACGUGUUUGAAAAAUUAGGGUUUGUAAUUUGGGAAUUUGGGAAUUUUGAUAUAUAUAUUAUGGAAUCCAUAUUUUUAACGUGUUUGAAAAAUUAGGGUUUGUAAUUUGGGAAUUUGGGAAUUUUGAUAUAUAUAUUAUGGAAUCCAUAUUUUUAACGUGUUUGAAAAAUUAGGGUUUGUAAUUUGGGAAUUUGGGAAUUUUGAUAUAUAUAUUAUGGAAUCCAUAUUUUUAACGUGUUUGAAAAAUUAGGGUUUGUAAUUUGGGAAUUUGGGAAUUUUGAUAUAUAUAUUAUGGAAUCCAUAUUUUUAACGUGUUUGAAAAAUUAGGGUUUGUAAUUUGGGAAUUUGGGAAUUUUGAUAUAUAUAUUAUGGAAUCCAUAUUUUUAACGUGUUUGAAAAAUUAGGGUUUGUAAUUUGGGAAUUUGGGAAUUUUGAUAUAUAUAUUAUGGAAUCCAUAUUUUUAACGUGUUUGAAAAAUUAGGGUUUGUAAUUUGGGAAUUUGGGAAUUUUGAUAUAUAUAUUAUGGAAUCCAUAUUUUUAACGUGUUUGAAAAAUUAGGGUUUGUAAUUUGGGAAUUUGGGAAUUUUGAUAUAUAUAUUAUGGAAUCCAUAUUUUUAACGUGUUUGAAAAAUUAGGGUUUGUAAUUUGGGAAUUUGGGAAUUUUGAUAUAUAUAUUAUGGAAUCCAUAUUUUUAACGUGUUUGAAAAAUUAGGGUUUGUAAUUUGGGAAUUUGGGAAUUUUGAUAUAUAUAUUAUGGAAUCCAUAUUUUUAACGUGUUUGAAAAAUUAGGGUUUGUAAUUUGGGAAUUUGGGAAUUUUGAUAUAUAUAUUAUGGAAUCCAUAUUUUUAACGUGUUUGAAAAAUUAGGGUUUGUAAUUUGGGAAUUUGGGAAUUUUGAUAUAUAUAUUAUGGAAUCCAUAUUUUUAACGUGUUUGAAAAAUUAGGGUUUGUAAUUUGGGAAUUUGGGAAUUUUGAUAUAUAUAUUAUGGAAUCCAUAUUUUUAACGUGUUUGAAAAAUUAGGGUUUGUAAUUUGGGAAUUUGGGAAUUUUGAUAUAUAUAUUAUGGAAUCCAUAUUUUUAACGUGUUUGAAAAAUUAGGGUUUGUAAUUUGGGAAUUUGGGAAUUUUGAUAUAUAUAUUAUGGAAUCCAUAUUUUUAACGUGUUUGAAAAAUUAGGGUUUGUAAUUUGGGAAUUUGGGAAUUUUGAUAUAUAUAUUAUGGAAUCCAUAUUUUUAACGUGUUUGAAAAAUUAGGGUUUGUAAUUUGGGAAUUUGGGAAUUUUGAUAUAUAUAUUAUGGAAUCCAUAUUUUUAACGUGUUUGAAAAAUUAGGGUUUGUAAUUUGGGAAUUUGGGAAUUUUGAUAUAUAUAUUAUGGAAUCCAUAUUUUUAACGUGUUUGAAAAAUUAGGGUUUGUAAUUUGGGAAUUUGGGAAUUUUGAUAUAUAUAUUAUGGAAUCCAUAUUUUUAACGUGUUUGAAAAAUUAGGGUUUGUAAUUUGGGAAUUUGGGAAUUUUGAUAUAUAUAUUAUGGAAUCCAUAUUUUUAACGUGUUUGAAAAAUUAGGGUUUGUAAUUUGGGAAUUUGGGAAUUUUGAUAUAUAUAUUAUGGAAUCCAUAUUUUUAACGUGUUUGAAAAAUUAGGGUUUGUAAUUUGGGAAUUUGGGAAUUUUGAUAUAUAUAUUAUGGAAUCCAUAUUUUUAACGUGUUUGAAAAAUUAGGGUUUGUAAUUUGGGAAUUUGGGAAUUUUGAUAUAUAUAUUAUGGAAUCCAUAUUUUUAACGUGUUUGAAAAAUUAGGGUUUGUAAUUUGGGAAUUUGGGAAUUUUGAUAUAUAUAUUAUGGAAUCCAUAUUUUUAACGUGUUUGAAAAAUUAGGGUUUGUAAUUUGGGAAUUUGGGAAUUUUGAUAUAUAUAUUAUGGAAUCCAUAUUUUUAACGUGUUUGAAAAAUUAGGGUUUGUAAUUUGGGAAUUUGGGAAUUUUGAUAUAUAUAUUAUGGAAUCCAUAUUUUUAACGUGUUUGAAAAAUUAGGGUUUGUAAUUUGGGAAUUUGGGAAUUUUGAUAUAUAUAUUAUGGAAUCCAUAUUUUUAACGUGUUUGAAAAAUUAGGGUUUGUAAUUUGGGAAUUUGGGAAUUUUGAUAUAUAUAUUAUGGAAUCCAUAUUUUUAACGUGUUUGAAAAAUUAGGGUUUGUAAUUUGGGAAUUUGGGAAUUUUGAUAUAUAUAUUAUGGAAUCCAUAUUUUUAACGUGUUUGAAAAAUUAGGGUUUGUAAUUUGGGAAUUUGGGAAUUUUGAUAUAUAUAUUAUGGAAUCCAUAUUUUUAACGUGUUUGAAAAAUUAGGGUUUGUAAUUUGGGAAUUUGGGAAUUUUGAUAUAUAUAUUAUGGAAUCCAUAUUUUUAACGUGUUUGAAAAAUUAGGGUUUGUAAUUUGGGAAUUUGGGAAUUUUGAUAUAUAUAUUAUGGAAUCCAUAUUUUUAACGUGUUUGAAAAAUUAGGGUUUGUAAUUUGGGAAUUUGGGAAUUUUGAUAUAUAUAUUAUGGAAUCCAUAUUUUUAACGUGUUUGAAAAAUUAGGGUUUGUAAUUUGGGAAUUUGGGAAUUUUGAUAUAUAUAUUAUGGAAUCCAUAUUUUUAACGUGUUUGAAAAAUUAGGGUUUGUAAUUUGGGAAUUUGGGAAUUUUGAUAUAUAUAUUAUGGAAUCCAUAUUUUUAACGUGUUUGAAAAAUUAGGGUUUGUAAUUUGGGAAUUUGGGAAUUUUGAUAUAUAUAUUAUGGAAUCCAUAUUUUUAACGUGUUUGAAAAAUUAGGGUUUGUAAUUUGGGAAUUUGGGAAUUUUGAUAUAUAUAUUAUGGAAUCCAUAUUUUUAACGUGUUUGAAAAAUUAGGGUUUGUAAUUUGGGAAUUUGGGAAUUUUGAUAUAUAUAUUAUGGAAUCCAUAUUUUUAACGUGUUUGAAAAAUUAGGGUUUGUAAUUUGGGAAUUUGGGAAUUUUGAUAUAUAUAUUAUGGAAUCCAUAUUUUUAACGUGUUUGAAAAAUUAGGGUUUGUAAUUUGGGAAUUUGGGAAUUUUGAUAUAUAUAUUAUGGAAUCCAUAUUUUUAACGUGUUUGAAAAAUUAGGGUUUGUAAUUUGGGAAUUUGGGAAUUUUGAUAUAUAUAUUAUGGAAUCCAUAUUUUUAACGUGUUUGAAAAAUUAGGGUUUGUAAUUUGGGAAUUUGGGAAUUUUGAUAUAUAUAUUAUGGAAUCCAUAUUUUUAACGUGUUUGAAAAAUUAGGGUUUGUAAUUUGGGAAUUUGGGAAUUUUGAUAUAUAUAUUAUGGAAUCCAUAUUUUUAACGUGUUUGAAAAAUUAGGGUUUGUAAUUUGGGAAUUUGGGAAUUUUGAUAUAUAUAUUAUGGAAUCCAUAUUUUUAACGUGUUUGAAAAAUUAGGGUUUGUAAUUUGGGAAUUUGGGAAUUUUGAUAUAUAUAUUAUGGAAUCCAUAUUUUUAACGUGUUUGAAAAAUUAGGGUUUGUAAUUUGGGAAUUUGGGAAUUUUGAUAUAUAUAUUAUGGAAUCCAUAUUUUUAACGUGUUUGAAAAAUUAGGGUUUGUAAUUUGGGAAUUUGGGAAUUUUGAUAUAUAUAAUGUAAUUUUCAUGCUACACUUUUCAUAAUGGGUCUAUGUCAUUUAGUUGUGUCAGUACGAGUGAUCAUUGAUGGGUUUAGUUAUGCUUAUUAUGACGAAAGCCUCUUUGGUUCCAUGUGCUGAUAUGAUUAAUGGACGGGACAAUUUGGAUUAUACUCAAGGUAAUUAUAAUGACAUUUUUGACGUCAUAAAGUCUAACACACUCCUAAGGAUACAUGUGUGACCAGUGGGAGAUUGUAAGAUUUAUGGGUCACAUAUGUAAUUAAUUAAUAAAGUGUGUUAGGGUCAUUAUAUAAUUAGCCAAUAAACUGGGGGUCAAAUAAUAUAUAAUAGUUUAUGGCUAAAGAGCAUAAUAGUUAUGAAAAUUAAUAGUGUAGAUACCAGGCAGUUUCUAAUUUAAUGAGGGGCUGAAUUGGAAAUACUGCAAUUUGGGAUAUAACUAAUAAUAGUUAUAUAUAGGGGUAAUGGUCCCCAAGGCAAACACAACAAGACUAUUCAGUUUCAAAACCCUAAAGUAGAAAAUUAUCUGGUUCUCUCUAUCCCCAUCAAGAGAGCAAGGUCUUCAGGGUGUUUUGCUGAGGAAGAUCACCCAACCCAUUGGCUCUAUCAUCAUCAUCCCAGGAUUUCAUUAAUGGCAAUUCCCACAGGUACGCUUCCGCCUUUGGCUAUUUAUCAUGUAAUUGACAUGGAUUGUUGAGCACAACGUUAGUAAGGUUUUUCCAACAUUAACUUCCUUACAAUGUUUUGAUCAUAAGAUAAGAUGAAUCAUAUCAUAUAUACUAAUAAAUCCUAUGCACAAAUUUCUAUUUC